AGGACGAACGCUGGCGGCGUGCUUAACACAUGCAAGUCGAACGGAAAGGCCCUGCUUGCAGGGUACUCGAGUGGCGAACGGGUGAGUAACACGUGGGUGAUCUGCCCUGCACUUCGGGAUAAGCCUGGGAAACUGGGUCUAAUACCGGAUAGGAGCCAUUUUUAGUGUGAUGGUUGGAAAGUUUUUUCGGUGUAGGAUGAGCUCGCGGCCUAUCAGCUUGUUGGUGGGGUAAUGGCCUACCAAGGCGGCGACGGGUAGCCGGCCUGAGAGGGUGGACGGCCACAUUGGGACUGAGAUACGGCCCAGACUCCUACGGGAGGCAGCAGUGGGGAAUAUUGCACAAUGGGCGCAAGCCUGAUGCAGCGACGCCGCGUGGGAUGACGGCCUUCGGUUGUAAACUCCUUCGCUAGGACGAAGCUUUUGUGACGGUACUAGAUAAGAAGCACCGCUAACUACGUGCCAGCAGCCGC
This 470-nucleotide ribosomal RNA is filed under the name uncultured soil bacterium. Its description in RNAcentral is "bacterial SSU rRNA". It matches the Rfam family "Bacterial small subunit ribosomal RNA", at positions 26 to 518 of the family's 1533-position model. The record is from RNAcentral.